UCAGGCCUAACACAUGCAAGUCGAACGGAUCACUUCGGUGGUUAGUGGCGAACGGGUGAGUAAUGCCUAGGAAUCUGCCUAUUAGCGGGGGAUAACGUUCCGAAAGGAACGCUAAUACCGCAUACGCCCUACGGGGGAAAGCAGGGGAUCUUCGGACCUUGCACUAAUAGAUGAGCCUAGGUCAGAUUAGCUAGUUGGUGGGGUAAAGGCUCACCAAGGCGACGAUCUGUAGCGGGUCUGAGAGGAUGAUCCGCCACACUGGAACUGAGACACGGUCCAGACUUCUACGGGAGGCAGCAGUGGGGAAUAUUGGACAAUGGGCGCAAGCCUGAUCCAACACAUGCCGCGUGUGUGAAGAAGGCCUUUUGGUGUAAAUCAAAAGAGCGAGGAGGAGGGCACUUAGGUUAUACCCUGAUGUGUGGAC
This 424-nucleotide ribosomal RNA is filed under the name uncultured bacterium. Its description in RNAcentral is "bacterial SSU rRNA". It matches the Rfam family "Bacterial small subunit ribosomal RNA", at positions 42 to 473 of the family's 1533-position model. The record is from RNAcentral.